UAAAGAUGUGUUUAAAGAUGCAAGAGGUAGCAAAGCAGUAAAAGACAAAAAUGAGUGGCAACAUUUAAAACAGUGGUUUGAAUUGCCAA
Alosa sapidissima (American shad) is the source of this 89-nucleotide long non-coding RNA. RefSeq lists it as uncharacterized. NCBI's taxonomy places the organism in Eukaryota, Metazoa, Chordata, Actinopteri, Clupeiformes, Clupeidae. The transcript is spliced from 3 exons. The record is from RefSeq and is a predicted model, not a curated record.